This 256-nucleotide long non-coding RNA is filed under the name Elaeis guineensis (African oil palm). RNAcentral's name for it is "long non-coding RNA (EGUI_LNC008894)". Lineage: Eukaryota; Viridiplantae; Streptophyta; Magnoliopsida; Arecales; Arecaceae. The record is from RNAcentral.
ACAGUGGCAGGAUGGCUGGAAGGCUUGAUACAGAAACUCCAAAGAAGAAAGGUAGAUGGUAGUAUGAAAAUAUAAAAAAGAAAGAUAGUAGCACUAGGAUUAGAACCUCUUCUAGAUUUGAUGGAAGGCGUGCUAGGGUUAGUAUCUCUUUUAGACUUAUGGAGAAGAAAGAAGGAGAGAUGAGGACAGUAGCUUGGAGAAAAUUUAGGCAUUAGCUUGAUAGGAAGAGAGAAAGGGAGGAGCUUUGAUGGAUGAG